This 497-nucleotide ribosomal RNA is filed under the name uncultured bacterium. Its description in RNAcentral is "partial 16S ribosomal RNA". It matches the Rfam family "Bacterial small subunit ribosomal RNA", at positions 28 to 507 of the family's 1533-position model. The record is from RNAcentral.
GAUGAACGCUGGCGGCGUGCCUAAUACAUGCAAGUCGAGCGAACAGAUGGGGAGCUUGCUCCUCUGACGUUAGCGGCGGACGGGUGAGUAACACGUGGAUAACCUACCUAUAAGACUGGGAUAACUUCGGGAAACCGGAGCUAAUACCGGAUAAUAUAUUGAACCGCAUGGUUCAAUAGUGAAAGACGGUUUUGCUGUCACUUAUAGAUGGAUCCGCGCCGCAUUAGCUAGUUGGUAAGGUAACGGCUUACCAAGGCAACGAUGCGUAGCCGACCUGAGAGGGUGAUCGGCCACACUGGAACUGAGACACGGUCCAGACUCCUACGGGAGGCAGCAGUAGGGAAUCUUCCGCAAUGGGCGAAAGCCUGACAGAGCAACGCCGCGUGAGUGAUGAAGGUCUUCGGAUCGUAAAACUCUGUUAUUAGGGAAGAACAAAUGUGUAAGUAACUAUGCACGUCUUGACGGUACCUAAUCAGAAAGCCACGGCUAACUACGUG